UACAGAGGGGGCAAGCGUUAUUCGGAAUUAUUGGGCGUAAAGGGCGCGUAGGCGGCCUGGCAAGUGGAAGGUGAAAUCCCUCGGCUUAACCGAGGAACUGCCUCCCAAACUGCUUGGCUUGAGACCGGGAGAGGUGAGUGGAAUUCCCAGUGUAGCGGUGAAAUGCGUAGAUAUUGGGAGGAACACCAGUGGCGAAGGCGGCUCACUGGACCGGUACUGACGCUGAUGCGCGAAAGCGUGGGGAGCAGACGGG
RNAcentral lists this ribosomal RNA (253 nucleotides) under uncultured bacterium. RNAcentral describes it as "partial 16S ribosomal RNA". It matches the Rfam family "Bacterial small subunit ribosomal RNA", at positions 524 to 776 of the family's 1533-position model. The record is from RNAcentral.